This 488-nucleotide ribosomal RNA is filed under the name uncultured bacterium. RNAcentral describes it as "partial 16S ribosomal RNA". It matches the Rfam family "Bacterial small subunit ribosomal RNA", at positions 28 to 507 of the family's 1533-position model. The record is from RNAcentral.
GACGAACGCUGGCGGCGUGCUUAACACAUGCAAGUCGAACGGAAAGGCCCUGCUUUUGUGGGGUGCUCGAGUGGCGAACGGGUGAGUAACACGUGAGUAACCUGCCCUUGACUUUGGGAUAACUUCAGGAAACUGGGGCUAAUACCGGAUAGGAGCUCCUGCUGCAUGGUGGGGGUUGGAACGUUUCGGCGGUUGGGGAUGGACUCGCGGCUUAUCGGCUUGUUGGUGGGGGAGUGGCUUACCAAGGCUUUGACCGGUAGCGGGCCGGAGUGGGGGCCCGGCCACACUGGAGCGGAGACAGGGACCAGACGCCGACGGUGGGCAGCAGGGGGGAAGGUGGGGCAAUGGGGGGAAGUCUGAGCCAGCGAUACCGCGGGUGUGAAGAAGGCCCUCGGGUGGGAAAGCCCUUGUGUGGGGAAAGAAAAGCAGCGGGGUAAGACCCCGCUGGGCGGACGGUACCCAAAGAAUAAGCACCGGCUAACUUCGUG